This 181-nucleotide ribosomal RNA is filed under the name uncultured Stenotrophomonas sp. RNAcentral's name for it is "partial 16S ribosomal RNA". It matches the Rfam family "Bacterial small subunit ribosomal RNA", at positions 334 to 507 of the family's 1533-position model. Lineage: Bacteria; Pseudomonadati; Pseudomonadota; Gammaproteobacteria; Lysobacterales; Lysobacteraceae. The record is from RNAcentral.
UACUCCUACGGGAGGCGGCAGUGGGGAAUAUUGGACAAUGGGCGCAAGCCUGAUCCAGCCAUACCGCGUGGGUGAAGAAGGCCUUCGGGUUGUAAAGCCCUUUUGUUGGGAAAGAAAUCCAGCUGGCUAAUACCCGGUUGGGAUGACGGUACCCAAAGAAUAAGCACCGGCUAACUUCGUG